UACGGAAGGGGCGAGCGUUGUUCGGAAUCAUUGGGCGUAAAGGGCGCGUAGGUGGUGCUGUAUGUCUCCCGUGAAAGCCCACGGCUCAACCGUGGUGUGUCGGGAGAAACUGCAGGACUUGAGGCUGGGAGGGGCUGGUGGAAUUCCCUGUGUAGCGGUGAAAUGCGUAGAGAUGGGGGAGAACACUCGUGGCGAAGGCGGCCAGCUAGACCAGUUCUGACACUGAGGCGCGACAGCGUGGGGAGCAAACAGG
This 253-nucleotide ribosomal RNA is filed under the name uncultured bacterium. RNAcentral's name for it is "partial 16S ribosomal RNA". It matches the Rfam family "Bacterial small subunit ribosomal RNA", at positions 524 to 776 of the family's 1533-position model. The record is from RNAcentral.